RNAcentral lists this ribosomal RNA (566 nucleotides) under uncultured bacterium. Its description in RNAcentral is "partial 16S ribosomal RNA". It matches the Rfam family "Bacterial small subunit ribosomal RNA", at positions 355 to 914 of the family's 1533-position model. The record is from RNAcentral.
UGGGGAAUUUUGGACAAUGGGCGAAAGCCUGAUCCAGCAAUGCCGCGUGUGUGAAGAAGGCCUUCGGGUUGUAAAGCACUUUUGUCCGGAAAGAAAUCCUUGGCUCUAAUACAGUCGGGGGAUGACGGUACCGGAAGAAUAAGCACCGGCUAACUACGUGCCGGCAGCCGCGGUAAUACGUAGGGUGCAAGCGUUAAUCGGAAUUACUGGGCGUAAAGCGUGCGCAGGCGGUUUGCUAAGACCGAUGUGAAAUCCCCGGGCUCAACCUGGGAACUGCAUUGGUGACUGGCAGGCUAGAGUAUGGCAGAGGGGGGUAGAAUUCCACGUGUAGCAGUGAAAUGCGUAGAGAUGUGGAGGAAUACCGAUGGCGAAGGCAGCCCCCUGGGCCAAUACUGACGCUCAUGCACGAAAGCGUGGGGAGCAAACAGGAUUAGAUACCCUGGUAGUCCACGCCCUAAACGAUGUCAACUAGUUGUUGGGGAUUCAUUUCCUUAGUAACGUAGCUAACGCGUGAAGUUGACCGCCUGGGGAGUACGGUCGCAAGAUUAAAACUCAAAUGAAUUGNC